UUGACGGGACCCGCACAAGCAGCGGAGCGUGUGGUUUAAUUCGUUGCUACACGAAGAACCUUACCUGGGUUUGACAUAUAGGUUGUAGGGAACUGAAAGGGACCGACCCUUCGGGGAGCCUAUACAGGUGUUGCAUGGCUGUCGUCAGCUCGUGUCGUGAGAUGUUCGGUUAAGUCCGCUAACGAGCGCAACCCUCGUCGUAUGUUAUAUGUGUCAUACGAGACUGCCGGUAAAAAGCCGGAGGAAGGUGAGGAUGAUGUCAGGUCAGCAUGACCUUUAUAUCCAGGGCUACACACACGCUACAAUGGUCUGUACAAUGGGUAGCCAAGCCGCGAGGCGGAGCCAAUCCUGAAAGCAGGCCUCAGUUCAGAUUGUAGGCUGCAACUCGCCUGCAUGAAGAUGGAGUUGCUAGUAACCGCAGGUCAGCAAUACUGCGGUGAAUACGUUCCCGGGUCUU
RNAcentral lists this ribosomal RNA (457 nucleotides) under uncultured Anaerolineaceae bacterium. RNAcentral describes it as "bacterial SSU rRNA". It matches the Rfam family "Bacterial small subunit ribosomal RNA", at positions 910 to 1382 of the family's 1533-position model. The record is from RNAcentral. Lineage: Bacteria; Bacillati; Chloroflexota; Anaerolineae; Anaerolineales; Anaerolineaceae.